Molecule: ribosomal RNA, 371 nt
Filed under: uncultured Smithella sp.
Lineage: Bacteria; Pseudomonadati; Thermodesulfobacteriota; Syntrophia; Syntrophales; Smithellaceae
Description: bacterial SSU rRNA
Rfam family: Bacterial small subunit ribosomal RNA
Source: RNAcentral
UAGGCCUUUCGGGGAACCGAGGAGACAGGUGCUGCAUGGCUGUCGUCAGCUCGUGUCGUGAGAUGUUGGUUAAGUCCCGCAACGAGCGCAACCCUUAUCUUUAAUUGCCAGCAUUCAGUUGGGCACUUUAAAGAGACUGCCGGUGUUAAACCGGAGGAAGGUGGGGAUGACGUCAAGUCCUCAUGGCCUUUAUGCUUAGGGCUACACACGUGCUACAAUGGGUGGUACAAAGAGAAGCCAACUCGCGAGAGCGCGCCAAUCUCAAAAAGCCAUCCUCAGUUCGGAUUGGAGUCUGCAACUCGACUCCAUGAAGUUGGAAUCGCUAAUAAUCGCGGAUCAGCAUGCCGCGGUCGAAUACGUUCCCGGGCCUU